UUCGCAUCCGUCUAUUGCAACAUCAAGCCCGCACCUAUUGCCUCUUUCUGUAUCUCAUCGGCCAUUGCUGUAUUCACUCUCUUCCUCGGUCUCUCGGCCUCGUGCCUUCGACUGAAUCUCUGCCUUCGCACUUCCUCCAACCCUUUAACUCUAUUAUUAUCGCCGCCGCCCCUUAAUCUUACUGCACGCGCAGCUGCUGCUCGGCUGUUCCGUCCUCUCUUUCUGGAUCGCAGAAUUGCAGGCAGUUUGCAAGCGACUUGAAACAGGGCCUUCAAUUUGUGUUGCAGUUGCCUGAGGAUCCAUUAAUAAUGGCGGCUCUAAGGGACCUCCUUCCUCCAGUUAAGUCAACCACUACAACUUAUUAUGAUCAUUCAAAUGACCCAUGGUUUAGACAACGAUUCAGCUCAUCUGAGGCAGAGCAAACCACGGUUGUCAAUCCUAAACUUGUGCCUCCCUACUUGGAGCGUAAAGGUUUUGUUCCCCGCAGAGUGGAGGAUUUUGGGGAUGGGGGUGCAUUCCCUGAGAUUCAUAUUGCGCAAUACCCUCUUGAUAUGGGUAGAGGUAAAUCUGCAAAACCAGGGUCAAAGAUUCUACCUUUGACUGUUGAUGCCCAUGGCAAUGUGGCAUAUGAUGCCAUUGUGAAGCAAAAUGAGAACGCAAAGAAAAUUGUUUAUUCACAACAUAAGGAUUUGAUUCCAAAGAUUUUGAGGAAUGAUGAGGAGAGAGAUGAGGAUGAGGAUUUGCAGAAAGAGAUUGAGGAGACAACACAGGAAACUAAAGAUGCACUUGAAAAGAUUGUGAAUGUGAGAUUAAGUGCGGCACAACCAAAGAAUGUGCCCAAACAGUCUUCGGAGUCAAAGUAUAUUAAGUAUAAGCCAUCUCAGCAAUCAGCAGCAUUCAAUUCAGGGGCAAAAGAGAGAAUCAUCAGAAUGGUGGAGAUGCCUGUGGACCCACUUGAGCCUCCUAAGUUCAAGCAUAAGAGGGUUCCCAAGGCUUCUGGUUCUCCACCUGUGCCAGUCAUGCACUCCCCACCUAGGCCUGUGACUGUGAAAGAUCAACAGGAUUGGAAAAUCCCUCCUUGUAUCUCAAAUUGGAAGAACCCUAAGGGUUACACAAUUCCUCUUGAUAAACGUUUAGCAGCUGAUGGAAGGGGUCUGCAGGAUGUUCAGAUUAAUGAUAAUUUUGCAAAGCUAUCAGAGGCACUCUAUGUUGCAGAGCAGAAGGCUAGAGAAGCUGUAGCUAUGAGAUCAAAGGUUCAAAAAGAGAUGAUGAUGAAAGAGAAGGAAAGGAAAGAGCAGGAACUGCGGGCAUUAGCUCAGAAAGCUCGUUCUGAAAGAACUGGUGCAGUGCCACCGGCAUCUGCCCCAAUCCCAUCUGAUAAGAGUGCAAUGGAUGAUGUUGAUAUGAUAGGGGAUUAUGAGCGUGUAAGAGAAAGGGAGAAGGAUGUCCCCAAAGAGACGAGAGAGGAAAGGGAAGAGCGGCUGCAACGGGAGAAAAUUCGUGAGGAGCGACGUCGAGAGAGGGAGAGGGAAAGAAGGUUGGAAGCAAAAGAUGCUGCCAUGGGUAAGAAAAGCAAAAUUACAAGAGAUAGAGAUCGUGACAUCAGUGAGAAGGUUGCUCUUGGUAUGGCUUCUACAGGUGCUGGCAGAGGAGAGGUCAUGUAUGACCAGAGGUUGUUCAACCAAGAGAAAGGGAUGGACUCUGGGUUUGCAACAGAUGAUCAGUAUAAUGUGUAUGACAAAGGCCUCUUUACAGCUCAGCCUACACUUUCAACUCUGUACAGGCCUAAGAAAGACGUUGAUGCUGAUAUGUAUGGAGGUGCUGAUGAGCAGUUAGAUAAGAUCUUGAAGACAGAAAGGUUUAAACCUGACAAGGCUUUUGCUGGUACUUCUGAGAAAACAGGUCCACGAGACAGGCCAGUUGAGUUUGAAAAGGAUGCAGAAGAAGCAGAUCCAUUUGGUCUGGAUCAGUUCUUGACAGAAGUAAAGAAAGGUAAGAAAGCUAUGGACAAAGUUGGUACCGGUGGAACAAUGAGAGCCAGUGCUGGAUCUUCAUUGCGAGAUGGAUAUGAAGGAGGCUCAGGUAGAACCCGCAUUGGAUUUGAGAGGGGCCGCUAGAUAUGCUGAUUUCAGGUUGUCCUUUUCUUUUCCCCUGUAUUGUAAUGUUGCCCUUUUUUUCUAUAGCAUAUCACCUGAAGCUUAUUAGAUGUGAAGAUAUUUGUGCCGUGUUUAUUUUCUCUAGAAUUUGAAUGAAAUAAUCCCGCUUUCACAUGUUUUGUAAGUUAAUUCUUAUUAACGCUUUCAUAUUUGAUUGCUGUUGUCAUAAUGGGCUACUUUUGAUCGUCGGGAGUUGGGUAGAUCUAUUACUAUGGAGUUGCAUUAGGCUGCAUUACCAGCUGAAUUUCAUGCUGCAGGAUUUUUCUUUUCUUUUCUCUUUUUCUAAAGUUUCUAAUUUUGUGUAGUGGUUUUUGUGAUUACUGUAAUUUGUUGCUAGCCAGGUAAUAGGAGGGCAGGGCAGGGCAAAACACCCUUCUUUCCAAAAAGGGAAAACAGAAGAAGUGUAUGACCAUAGAGCAACAUUUUACUUAGGCAAGGUGAGCUUUCAUGUUUAGAUAGAAAAUGUUGAUAUAUAUUGUAAAAGAAAAUGUUGAUAUGCUAGUAAGAUCAUACUUAAUUAUAUAUAACAUCAAAUCUUUUAGUACCAAUCAAUACUAGUUAAUUUUAAUUUGCAACUCUACUUAUGCUGAGAGGAGCUUGCUAAUUUGGUAUUAGAUAGCCUCCUCUUUGUUGAAGA
This 2793-nucleotide unclassified non-coding RNA is filed under the name Hevea brasiliensis (rubber tree). Lineage: Eukaryota; Viridiplantae; Streptophyta; Magnoliopsida; Malpighiales; Euphorbiaceae. The record is from RNAcentral.